CUCCCCACGACCUCCAAACUCUCUGCUCCCCUUCCCAGACAACCACCUCCCCACGCCCCGCCCCACUUCCCUCCCCACCUUCUCCGGCUGCGCCGCCCACCACCUCCUCUGGCCGCGCCGCCCACCACCUCCUCCGGCCGCGCCCAACGACACCACCUUCUACGCCGGCUGCCACCCUCUUCUUUCUCCCGCGCCAUAAGCAGUCAUGGCGGGCCGCGGGAUCCGGCCGCCCUCGGCCCCCGGCGCGGCCUCAGCCAUCGGAUACGGCCGCCACGACCAUUGGCGCGGCAACAAACCACGGAUCCGGCCGCCACCGACCCCUCGGCGUGGAAGCCGUCCGCUCGCGCAGCCUGGCGCCUGAUCCGGCGAGGUCCACACCGGUGCCUCUAUACCGCGCCGCCGAGGCCCGGGUUGUCCUCUCCCUCUCCGGCAGGGAGGCCCCGUCGAGCAACUCCCACGCUUGCCACCGAGAGGAGGCCGGCCAGGAGGCAGGCGCUAGCGGCCCCCCUGCUGCCCGCGGCAGAUCCGACGAGCCAACCCACAUCCUCAUCUCCCUCGCGGCGGAUCCGACGAGCUCUAUCACCACGCGCCGGCGGGCGGACCCCCUCCCUCCUCCACUCACGGCGUCGUGCGCAGGCGGCGGCACCACCGUUUCUCCCAGCCAUCCUCCCCCAAGCCACGUCUGGAUGGAUAUGGUCCGCCCACCGCCGGAUUUGGCCACGCCUUCAACCACCGCGACGUGAUGGGGUGUAGGAUCCAGGGAGGUUUCGGGGGUCAAGAAGCCACCGACCUCGCCGAAAAUCGCCCUUCCCUCCUCCCGGCCAAUCUCCUCCACCGGAUGCCUCGCGUGCUGCCACGCCAGGCGCCGGAUCCAUCGGCCAUUCAUGCACCAGGGAUGAGCUCGGCACGCGACUACUGGGAGAAACUGCAUGGAGGAAGGCUCGCUCCUGGGAGAAACUGGGUGCACUAUGGUCCUGGAGCAGAUCGUUGUUUUGGUGUUUUUCUUAUCAAGUGUAAAUGUAGCCCACUAUUGUUUGCUCAUCAGGUUCAAUUUACUUGUUCUUGUAGGAAGAAAGUGGUAGAGUGCGGUUUGAUGCAGCAUUGCAUUUUUUCUGUUUCCCUGAGCAUACAGUUUGGACAGCGAGCCUCCCUCCAUGAAGUCCGCUGGCACAUCCAUGCAGUACAACGCGUGUGUGUAUACGGUUCGCGACGCGUGUGUUGCCGGUGGCUGUUGUGAAGUUGAUUGUUUUUUCA
Triticum dicoccoides is the source of this 1254-nucleotide long non-coding RNA. RefSeq lists it as uncharacterized. The record is from RefSeq and is a predicted model, not a curated record. Lineage: Eukaryota; Viridiplantae; Streptophyta; Magnoliopsida; Poales; Poaceae. The transcript is spliced from 2 exons.